CUGGCUCAGGAUGAACGCUGGCGGCGUGCCUAAUACAUGCAAGUCGAGCGAGAACUUGAUGAUGGAAGAUUCGUCUGAAAGAUCAAGGGAAAGCGGCGGACGGGUGAGUAACGCGUAGGCAACCUGCCCUUAGCAGAGGGAUAGCCAUUGGAAACGAUGAUUAAAACCUCAUAACGCUUUGGAGACACAUGUCUUAAAAGCCAAAGAUUUAUCGGCUAAGGAUGGGCCUGCGUCUGAUUAACUGGUUGGUGAGGUAACGGCUCACCAAGGUGACGAUCAGUAGCCGACCUGAGAGGGUGAUCGGCCACAUUGGAACUGAGACACGGUCCAAACUUCUACGGAAGGCAGCAGUAAGGAAUCUUGCACAAUGGGGGGAAACCCUGAUGCAGCAACGCCGCGUGAACGAAGAAGGCCUUCGGGUUGUAAAGUUCUGAUCUUGGGGAAGAAGGAAGUGACGGUACCCAAGGAGAAAGCCCCGGCUAACUACGUGCCAGCCGCCGC
Molecule: ribosomal RNA, 501 nt
Filed under: uncultured bacterium
Lineage: Bacteria
Description: bacterial SSU rRNA
Rfam family: Bacterial small subunit ribosomal RNA
Source: RNAcentral